RNAcentral lists this ribosomal RNA (285 nucleotides) under uncultured bacterium. Its description in RNAcentral is "partial 16S ribosomal RNA". It matches the Rfam family "Bacterial small subunit ribosomal RNA", at positions 395 to 671 of the family's 1533-position model. The record is from RNAcentral.
CGCCGCGUGUAUGAUGAAGGUCUUCGGAUUGUAAAGUACUGUCUUUGGGGAAGAAUGACUGGAUUGAAAAUAUUGAUUCAGUAUGACGGUACCCAAGGAGGAAGCCCCGGCUAACUACGUGCCAGCAGCCGCGGUAAUACGUAGGGGGCAAGCGUUGUCCGGAAUUAUUGGGCGUAAAGGGCGCGUAGGCGGAUAGUUAAGUCCGGUGUGAAAGAUCAGGGCUCAACCCUGAGAGUGCAUCGGAAACUGGUUAUCUUGAGGACAGGAGAGGAAAGUGGAAUUCCA